Molecule: ribosomal RNA, 620 nt
Filed under: Chaetomium sp. BMP3017
Lineage: Eukaryota; Fungi; Ascomycota; Sordariomycetes; Sordariales; Chaetomiaceae
Also listed under: 1 other name
Description: eukaryotic LSU rRNA
Rfam family: 5.8S ribosomal RNA (bases 251-404)
Source: RNAcentral
UGGAAGUAAAAGUCGUAACAAGGUCUCCGUUGGUGAACCAGCGGAGGGAUCAUUACAGAGUUGCAAAACUCCCAUAACCAUUGUGAACCUUACCUUUAAUCGUUGCUUCGGCAGGCACCAACCAAGAGUCCCCUGGAACGGGGCGCCGUAGAGGGUGAGAGCCCCGUCUGGUUGGAGGUCUGUCUGCCGGAGGUACUUAAACUCUUGUUUAUUGCAUGGCCUCUCUGAGUAAACCAUUUAAAUAAGUCAAAACUUUCAACAACGGAUCUCUUGGUUCUGGCAUCGAUGAAGAACGCAGCGAAAUGCGAUAAGUAAUGUGAAUUGCAGAAUUCAGUGAAUCAUCGAAUCUUUGAACGCACAUUGCGCCCGCCAGUAUUCUGGCGGGCAUGCCUGUUCGAGCGUCAUUUCAACCAUCAAGCCCCAGGCUUGUGUUGGGGACCUGCGGCUGCCCGCAGGCCCUGAAAUACAGUGGCGGACUCGCUAGUAACUCCGAGCGUAGUAGUAACAUCUCGCUAAGGACGUGCUGCGGGUGCUGGCCGUAAAACCCCCCAAUUCUUAAGGUUGACCUCGGAUCAGGUAGGAAGACCCGCUGAACUUAAGCAUAUCAAUAAGCGGAGGAA